AGGGGAAUAGCUGGGUCAAAUGGUNUUCCCAGCUUUCCAAGAAAUCUCCAUACUGCUUUCCAAAUUGGCUGCACCAAUUUGCAGUCCCACCAGCAAU
Molecule: microRNA precursor, 97 nt
Filed under: Marmota monax (woodchuck)
Lineage: Eukaryota; Metazoa; Chordata; Mammalia; Rodentia; Sciuridae
Source: RNAcentral